GAUGAACGCUGGCGGCGUGCCUAAUACAUGCAAGUCGAGCGAACAGACGCGGAUCUUGCUCCUCUGUCGUUAGCGGCGCACGUGUGUGACACACGUGUAUAAUCUACCUAUAAGUCUGGGAUAACUACGGGAAACCGGAGCUAAUACCGUAUAAUAUAUUGAAGCGCAUGGUUCAAUAGUAAAAGACGGUGUUUCUGUCUCUAAUAGCUGCAUCCGCGCCGCAUUAGCUAGUUGGUAAGGUAACGGCUUAUCAAGGCGACGAUGCGUAGGCGAAGUGAGAGGGUGAUCGGCCACACGGGAACUUAGACGCGGACCAGACGCCUACGGGACGCAGCAGUAGGGAAUGGUAGGCAGUAGGCGAAAGCCUGACGGAGCAGCGGCGCGUGAGUGAUAAAAGUCUUCGGAGCGUAAAGCUGUGUUAUGAGGGAAAAACAAAUGUGUAAGGAACUAUGCACGUAUUGACGGUAACUAAUAAGAAAGCCACGGCUAACUACGUG
This 497-nucleotide ribosomal RNA is filed under the name uncultured bacterium. RNAcentral describes it as "partial 16S ribosomal RNA". It matches the Rfam family "Bacterial small subunit ribosomal RNA", at positions 28 to 507 of the family's 1533-position model. The record is from RNAcentral.